GGGCCUUUAGCUCAAUGGUCAGAGCAGAGCACUCAUAAUGCUUUGGUUACAGGUUCGAGUCCUGUAAGGCCCACCA
Molecule: transfer RNA, 76 nt
Filed under: Puniceicoccales bacterium
Lineage: Bacteria; Pseudomonadati; Verrucomicrobiota; Opitutia; Puniceicoccales
Description: tRNA-Ile
Rfam family: tRNA
About the family: Transfer RNA (tRNA) molecules are approximately 80 nucleotides in length. Their secondary structure includes four short double-helical elements and three loops (D, anti-codon, and T loops).
Source: RNAcentral